UGUGUUGUGCGGUUACCGUUCGCUUGCGCUUUAUUUUGCGCGCCACGGAGGAUUCGGUGAGGAGAGACAAAGACAACGAAGAAGACGUGCUGCUCGAUCGGAGCUGUUCUGCUGUAUUGCCGGCUAUUGCUUGUCGUGUUGUUACGGCGACAAUAUGCUGUUAUAGGCAUCACUAUAGUAGCAGACGAGGGGGGGGGGGUGAUAAGUUGAGCAAUCAGGUUGAUAUGUCUUGCAAAAAACACUCAUUUUCAAGAAAGAAAGAAGUGAUAACGAGAGGAAUAAGAAAAAAGAAGGAGAAAAGAAAAGUAAAUGCGACAGCCCUUCGUUCUUGGACAUCGCUUAAUGAUGCUGAUGUAUCAAGCAUUCUUUCAUGCAUUCUUUCUUAUCACCGUUUUUUCUCUAUUUUCAGGUGGGAGCUGCAACGUAGAGCAAGUGGUCUAUUUAAGCCAUACUCGAAAAUGUGCGGUGCUCAUAGUAACCCAAAGUUAUCCAACUCGCACACAAUAUAUGGAUCUGAGAAUUAGAAACUCUUCCGUUGAGAGUGGUCCUGAAAUGGAGUGUCUCCAAAAGUUUGACAGCUACCGUCAACCAGGAUAUCGCGUUUAUACAAGAGACUGCCAGAGAAUUCUUCAGCCCGGCUGUCAAGUCUCGAACUGCAUCUAUGGAUAAAAUUCGGCAGAACGAAAAAUUGUCAACGCAUUUGGGGGAAACGUUUGAAGACCGGAAUGUGUGUAAAACAAACAAUAAAAAUAUAUGAAUUUAUCCGAAUGUCAGUAAUAUAGAGGGCGUCUUCAUUGAGGUGGCCAAACAUUUAUAAAGGAUAAUACUGCUGU
Long non-coding RNA from Dermacentor silvarum, 833 nucleotides. RefSeq lists it as uncharacterized. Lineage: Eukaryota; Metazoa; Arthropoda; Arachnida; Ixodida; Ixodidae. The record is from RefSeq and is a predicted model, not a curated record. The transcript has 2 exons.